This is a long non-coding RNA of Cucurbita pepo subsp. pepo (vegetable marrow), 1051 nucleotides long. RefSeq lists it as uncharacterized. The record is from RefSeq and is a predicted model, not a curated record. Lineage: Eukaryota; Viridiplantae; Streptophyta; Magnoliopsida; Cucurbitales; Cucurbitaceae.
UAUACUCCUUUCUCAUUCUUUCUCUCUUGUUUCAGUUCGUUUUCUCUGCUAAGUUUUAGUAUUUUCAAAUAGUUCAACAAUGGCUACCGACAACGUGCACCAAUACUCUAUGUUAUAAUUCACCUCCAAACGAGUUUGCCGUUCAUGGUCCUUAGCCGAGCAACUACUCCAACGCCAAGCUUGUUUGCUGAGGAACAAAAUUUUCUUCGAAGAAUAAGCUCGACUGGUAGCACAUCCCACCAAUCUAUGUCAUCGAAGGUGAUAUUUAGGUCGCAAUAGGAAAGAAGUCAGUCAUCCACUGCAGCAUCAAUCAUAUAACUAAAAACCAUCGAUGGUACAAAAUUAUAUUGUGUUUUGAUAAAAAUGGAGUGACUCUUAUUGACUGUCUGUUUGCUCGUAAGUGCCCAACUUAGUGUAGGUGGCUCUUGCCUUAACAAUUGUUUUUUUCCUGUCCCUUAAGAUGUGCUUCUAUGUUAUGAAAAAAGUGAUGAGGUAAGAGCCACUUAAACUGAGUUGGGCACUUUGCGGCCGAAUGGACAAUCAAUGAGAGUCGCUCCAUCUUCAUCAAAGCAUAAUAUGAUUUCGUGCAAAUGAUUGUUUUUAGUUGUUUGAUUGAUGUUGCAGUGAAGCCCUGAUUUCUUUCCUAUUGCGGCUUAAAUGACGUUGGAGUAGUUACUUGGCCAUAGACCAUGAAUAGUGAACUUACUUGGAGGUGAAUUAAGACAGUGGGUACAGGUGCAUGUGGUCGGGUGGCCAUUGUUGGACCAUUUGAAAGUACUCAAAUCGAGCAUUUACAAACAAGAUCAAAAUCGAGAGGGGGAGCACAAAAAGAUGAACAUUAGCCAAGAUCAAACUCAAGCAGAUUAGAAUUCUAAACCCUUUAUCUCAUUUUUCUCCCCGUUUCUUUUCUUUCUUUCCCUUUCUUGCAUGGAUGAUAAAAUGACCAAUUUACCCUCUAAGUUGACUUUGACCAAUUAAUUCAGUCUCCAAGACCCUCGAUAAAAUUACAAAAGUUCUAAAAUAUUUUGAAUAUUAAGGUGAAUUUAGCUUA